UUCGCAAUGCCCGAAAGGGUGACGAAGCGACGCCGCGUGUGGGAAGAAGGCCUUCGGGUUGUAAAGCCCUGUCAGGAGUUAAGAAAUGUAGACUCGCCAAUAUCGGGUCUAUUUGACAAAGGCUCCAAAGGAAGCCACGGCUAACUCUGUGCCAGCAGCCGCGGUAAUACAGAGGUGGCGAGCGUUGUUCGGUAUUAUUGGGCGUAAAGAGCACGUAGGUGGUUUUGUAAGUCAGGUGUGAAAGCCUUCUGUUCAAAGGAAGAACGGCAUCUGAAACUGCAGAUCUUGAGUGUAGGAGGGGAGAGUGGAACUUCUGGUGGAGCGGUGAAAUGCGUAGAUAUCAGAAGGAACACCGGCGGCGAAAGCGACUCUCUGGCCCGAAACUGACGCUGAGUGUGCGAAAGCUAGGGGAGCAAACGGGAUUAGAUACCCCGGUAGUCCUAGCCGUAAACGAUGGGCACUAAGUAGAGGGGUUUU
Molecule: ribosomal RNA, 477 nt
Filed under: uncultured anaerobic ammonium-oxidizing bacterium
Lineage: Bacteria
Description: bacterial SSU rRNA
Rfam family: Bacterial small subunit ribosomal RNA
Source: RNAcentral